This is a long non-coding RNA of Scylla paramamosain (green mud crab), 1832 nucleotides long. RefSeq lists it as uncharacterized. NCBI's taxonomy places the organism in Eukaryota, Metazoa, Arthropoda, Malacostraca, Decapoda, Portunidae. The record is from RefSeq and is a predicted model, not a curated record. The transcript is spliced from 3 exons.
CAUGAACUCUGAUACCUGGCGCAUCCCUACUUCAUUAUCUUAACCCAUUGAUUCAGUGACGAGGGUGAUACACGGGAACGUGUGUUGAUUACAGUGCAGGGAAGAAUAGAGAAGAAAGAACAGUAGGCUGUGCUAGAUAUACGAACACAGACCGAGGCGGCUAUAAUUAGAUUUAUGUGACGUGCGGCUUGUUUUCUUAAUCUUGAUCUGCUCGACACGUGUCAAAAUGGCCCGCCUACCACAGGAGCCUGGCUGCUUAUCCGUGAGGCUGUGUAUUAGUAACACUUCCAUUCACUUAUUGGCCCUCACUAAACACAUAGCAUGAUUAAUGAUACAGUUUCUUAGUAAAAGCGCGUCUAUAAAUGUAUUGAAGCAUUGCUAACUUGGAGAACCACCUGUUUUCUUUACAGGUGAAUGGUCAUUAUGCAUACUCAGUCACUCAGAUUUUGUGGGCCGCGGGAAGGCAACUGAACGGGGAAGCGUGAUGUUUAGCGUGCUGGACAUGUGGGCUGGUUGCUACCUUCUCAAAAAAAUAUUUACUUUCGUCUUACUUUUAAUAUUUAUAUCAUGAUGAUGCUCAUUCUUGGUAACAAAUUCGGCCAGGAUGACAUGACAGGACUGUAACUUCCUUGUACCAGGCCACACGGCGCCAGUCACCCGAGAAAAGUACUUGUCAGCAAUACGACUCCAUUAUAUUUACUGAUUUAGUCUUCGCUUUCCCUUUUUUUCGUCUCUCUGGCAUAUGUAACUCCUAUGACAAUAUGCAAAAAGUUAAAUAGACAGUAAAUUCAUAAAGGUAACCAGCUAAUAAGAUAACACUAGUUAGCCGUUUACCAUGACAAAGUCCAUGUGAGGAUAUGCUUAUAUUUGACUGUUUCAAUAUAAAAAUUGUAAUAGAAUAUAUCAUGAUCAAUUCAAGUAAGAUAUUUCAAUUGUCAUCAUAACCUUAAUGUAAUACGUUCAGUGAAGGACUACUUUCUUCAGCGGAGGACGUCCUGGUGCUGCUGGUCAAGGGAGGAUCAGCCCGAUCAGUUGCCUGGUGUGUAAAGUGUGCCCCGUUUGUCUCCGCAAAAAAAAAAAAAAAAAAAAAAAAACGCUUGAUUUAGCCUGACGGAAAGUGAAUAUAUCGCAUCAUUAACCCUCUAAUGCUAAGACUAAGUGUUGGUGGGACUGAGACAUGUGAAGGAAUUAAUGGAACGCAGCAUACCUACCGUCAAGGUUAGAAGGGAGGAAGGAGGGAAGUCUUAUUGCGCUUCCAUCACAGACACUGAUGGUAAGUGUGUGCAAACGCGGAUCAGGCAUCGCAACACUCCUCGACAGCAGAGGACUCACUCAAGUGAACCCUCAGUGUAUUAAUGUGACCUUGUAACCUGCACGACCACCCAUCACCAUCACCACCAGGACUCCUGCCAUGGCUCCCCUGUCCUGAGCGGUCACUACCACCACGACUCUCAGACGUCAAUAUUCAGCGGAGGACUACGGUCCUCAAUCUCAUUAUGGUCAUCAAAGAAAGCUGUUAGCGCGGUGCCUUGAGGGAGCAUGGCGGAGCAGCGCUCUUCAACUCACAACCUGUCGGACGCCCAGACACGGUGCUCGAGGUUCGUAGGGUGUCAGGAUCUGUGAAGAGCUCUCAGUCUGGCAUUCAGCGGCAUCCAUUCUGAGUAGGAUUUUGAUUUCCGUAUCCAUAAAUACUUUCAUGACUAUUUUCAAAGUUUUAGGAGAUGAUUAGUCGGGGUCUCACAGGUGUUAUUCCCAUUGGUGUGAUGAAUAUUUGUUGGUUGUCGUUUAGAGCCUUGAAAACACUCUUGAAUAUCCAAGUGAGUAAUUGUGUA